ACCAACUCUCAAAGUUGUCCCCACUUCUCCUAAUUAAAACAUCAUUUAAUAGCAUACGUAGUGGGGCGGUAUGAGGGGCUAUAGCGCCUCAUCGCGCUGCCAAAUACCGGGACGGAGGGCGCGAUGAAGGAGAAAGAAGAGAGGGGCGCGAGCUCCAUAGCGGCGGAAGAAGGUUCUUGCAGGUAUUGAAGAAGGUUGAAGGAAGAAUAAGGUUGUUCCAGGUAUUGAAGGAAGAAGGAAGAAGGAAGAAGGAAGAAGGUUUUAUGAAUUGGUCCCUACAAAAUUGGGUUUUUAACAUAUUUGAUCCCUAGAAGGUUUUAUGAAUUGGUCCCUACAAAAUUGGGUUUUUAACAUAUUUGAUCCCUACAAAUUAUGAAAACUUAUUUUAUUUAAUGGUUUUUUAACA
This is a long non-coding RNA of Helianthus annuus (common sunflower), 406 nucleotides long. RefSeq lists it as uncharacterized. Lineage: Eukaryota; Viridiplantae; Streptophyta; Magnoliopsida; Asterales; Asteraceae. The record is from RefSeq and is a predicted model, not a curated record. The transcript is spliced from 2 exons.